CUUUUGUCUGUGUAUGUCUUGUUGGGUACCAUAUAUGUUAAUUGUAAUCUAUACAAUCUGUAUCGUUACUCUCCUAUUCUAUCUUUUGUCCUAAGGAGAGCUGUGCUUAGGCAAUCACAUGGUUAAAAAACUUUGUGCUUGCAAGUCUUCCUCCCUCCUCCCCCCUCCUUCUUUGUUGCUUUCUCUUGCUCUGACUGCUAUGAGUAUUGGCUACAGGGGGGUGGGGUGAAUGGGUGAAAUGCUUGUAAACUCAGUGAGGAAUGUGAGGGAAACAAGGUAUAUUUGCUGGACGAAUAACCUAGUUAGGAACUUUGUGUAAUCUUGUAUAUGUUGUUAAGUAAGAGGUUAUUGGCAUGUUGGAAUAAGGAAAGUUAGAUUUUGUUGGAACAAAUGAAUUGUGGAAUUCAUAAAUGAUAAUGCAGAGAAAAGUACAUUGCAGUUUGCAUGUAAUUGCAGCUAUUCAGAUGCUGUAUUGUGGCAAUCUUUAUACACACAAUGUGAAAUUGCCAAUAGUGAAAUUGCCAAGAAAUUGUUUGUUAAUAAAAAAAAAAAAAAAAAAAGAUCAGAAAUGUUAUGAAACUAGUCUGUACUUACAAUGCAUUGAUUUGUAAACGAGAUGCAGGUCAAGAAACUUUAGAAUCAGC
This is a non-coding RNA of Pelobates cultripes (western spadefoot toad), 644 nucleotides long. The record is from the annotation of a GenBank genome assembly. NCBI's taxonomy places the organism in Eukaryota, Metazoa, Chordata, Amphibia, Anura, Pelobatidae.